AGUGAACGCUGGCGGUAGGCCUAACACAUGCAAGUCGAACGGCAGCACAGUAAGAGCUUGCUCUUACGGGUGGCGAGUGGCGGACGGGUGAGGAAUACAUCGGAAUCUACUUUUUCGUGGGGGAUAACGUAGGGAAACUUACGCUAAUACCGCAUACGACCUACGGGUGAAAGCAGGGGAUCUUCGGACCUUGCGCGAUUGAAUGAGCCGAUGUCGGAUUAGCUAGUUCGCGGGGUAAAGGCCCACCAAGGCGACGAUCCGUAGCUGGUCUGAGAGGAUGAUCAGCCACACUGGAACUGAGACACGGUCCAGACUCCUACGGGAGGCAGCAGUGGGGAAUAUUGGACAAAGGGCGCAAGCCUGAUCCAGCCAUACCGCGUGGGUGAAGAAGGCCUUCGGGUUGUAAAGCCCUUUUGUUGGGAAAGAAAAGCAGCAGGUUAAUACCCCGCUGUUCUGACGGUACCCAAAGAAUAAGCACCGGCUAACUUCGUG
Molecule: ribosomal RNA, 492 nt
Filed under: uncultured bacterium
Lineage: Bacteria
Description: partial 16S ribosomal RNA
Rfam family: Bacterial small subunit ribosomal RNA
Source: RNAcentral